Molecule: ribosomal RNA, 484 nt
Filed under: uncultured bacterium
Lineage: Bacteria
Description: partial 16S ribosomal RNA
Rfam family: Bacterial small subunit ribosomal RNA
Source: RNAcentral
AUUGAACGCUGGCGGCAGGCCUAACACAUGCAAGUCGAGCGGAUGAAGUGAGCUUUCUCCUGGAUUCGGCGGCGGACGGGUGAGUAAUUCCUAGGAAUCUGCCUGGUAUUUGGGGAUAACGUCCGGAAACGGGCCCUAAUACCGCAUACGUCCUGAGGGUGAAAGAGGGGGAUUUUCGUACCUCACGCCAUCAGAUGAGCCUAGGUGUGAUUAGCUAUUUGGUGGGGUAAAGGCCUACCAAGGGGGCGAUCCGUAACUUGUUUGAGAGGAUGAUCAGUCAGAUUGGAAGUGAGCUAGGGUCCAGCCUCCUACGGGAGGCAGCAGUGGGGAAUAUUGGAAAAUGGGGAAAGGCCUGACCCAGACAUGCCGGGUGUGUGAGGAAGGUCUUGGGAUUGUAAAGAAUGUUAAGUUGGGAGGAAGGGCAGUAAGUUAGUACGCUGCUGUAUUGACGUUAACAACAGAAUAAGCAACGGCUAACUACGUG